RNAcentral lists this non-coding RNA (184 nucleotides) under Acidobacteriota bacterium. RNAcentral describes it as "Acidobacteria bacterium (freshwater metagenome) 6S RNA". It matches the Rfam family "6S / SsrS RNA". From Rfam's summary of the family: E. coli 6S RNA was the first non coding RNA to be sequenced, but its function was unknown until recently. It consists of 184 nucleotides that fold into an extended hairpin structure with a large single-stranded internal bulge. Lineage: Bacteria; Pseudomonadati; Acidobacteriota. The record is from RNAcentral. RNAcentral also lists the same sequence under 1 other name.
CAGCUCCUGCUUUGUUCGUGAUGGUUUAGAAGCGUCGUUUGAGCCGAUGCUUUUCUUCCAAGUGAGCUGCAAACGCCGCGUGGUGUGCAUGCCUCCCGCGAGGAGGAAGCCUGAAGCGCGGUACAAGCGGUUCCACCUGUCUAACAGGUUCAUUCGACCUUCCCACACGGCAAAGCGGGGCUCC